Molecule: ribosomal RNA, 468 nt
Filed under: uncultured bacterium
Lineage: Bacteria
Description: bacterial SSU rRNA
Rfam family: Bacterial small subunit ribosomal RNA
Source: RNAcentral
CCAGACUCCUACGGGAGGCAGCAGUGGGGAAUCUUCCGCAAUGGGCGAAAGCCUGACGGAGCAACGCCGCGUGAUCGAAUGAAGGCCUUCGGGUUGUAAAGAUCUGUUGACAGGGACGAAUAAGCAAUGCGAAUAGUUUUGUGUAUGACGGUACCCAAAGAGGAAGCUCCGGCUAACUACGUGCCAGCAGCCGCGGUAAUACGUAGGGAGCGAGCGUUGUCCGGAAUUACUGGGUGUAAAGGGAGCGUAGGCGGGCGAGAAAGUUGAAUGUUAAAUCUACCGGCUUAACUGGUAGCUGCGUUCAAAACUUCUUGUCUUGAGUGAAGUAGAGGCAGGCGGAAUUCCUAGUGUAGCGGUGAAAUGCGUAGAUAUACGGAGGAACACCAGUGGCGAAGGCGGAUUGCUGGACAGUAACUGACGCUGAGGCGCGAAAGCGUGGGGAGCAAACAGGAUUAGAUACCCCUGUAA